GCUGGGGGCGGGACCUGUGGCGUCACGAAGCUUCCCCAGAACCGCGAGGGAUGCGGGGGAGGUGUACCAGGAACUUGGUGCGCGCCUGGGCGGGACGCGGUGCCCGCCUGUCUCCACUGGAACCCCGGACUCCGACCCAGGUCGGGUCGGCUUGACGGCGUGGUGGAGCGCCGCAGCCCUUCUAAUAAAAGUCUAAAGCUGUUUGGCCUCAGGCCUCUAGACUACUCUCCGGAAAAUGGGUGCAGCCAAGGGCGCAGGGAGAGACUUUGCGGGGAGCAGGGGCUAGGCCCUCCAUGCAACUAAACUAGCUGCCCAACGAUGGUCCCCUGCACAGCCCGCGAACGCCCAUCCGCAGCCCGCGCUGUGUCCAGCGAUUCACUCUGGCUGUCCCGUCGUCGUCCCGCAAGGCUUCUGAUCAUCCUUUGAAACGCAAGGCUUCUGAUCAUCCUUUGAGACGUGGUCCUGUCACCAAUCUGAAAUCACUCUGCCAAGCCACGUCUUCGGUCUUUGGCUACUAGCUCCCAAGGGGCGCCCACCCUGAGUGUGUAUGGAGCAGGUCUUGGGCGGUGGGGGCGGGGGCAGGUCUGGGCGGGGUUGGCAAUACUUCCGCUGAAUGUAUCCUUUAAAAAAAAAAAAAAAAAGAUUGAGCAGCAAGGGGGAAGGCAAUCGGUGCUUGUGUCUGCGCCAGGCCCCUCUGUGACCUAAGAUAUCUUAUUUUACUUUUCAG
Molecule: long non-coding RNA, 727 nt
Filed under: Mustela putorius furo (domestic ferret)
Lineage: Eukaryota; Metazoa; Chordata; Mammalia; Carnivora; Mustelidae
Description: lncRNA (ENSMPUG00000029669.1)
Source: RNAcentral